GAUGAACGCUGGCGGCGUGCCUAAUACAUGCAAGUCGAGCGAACGGACGAGAAGCUUGCUUUUCUGAUGUUAGCGGCGGACGGGUGAGUAACACGUGGAUAACCUACCUAUAAGACUGGGAUAACUUCGGGAAACCGGAGCUAAUACCGGAUAAUAUUUUGAACCGCAUGGUUCAAAAGUGAAAGACGGUCUUGCUGUCACUUAUAGAUGGAUCCGCGCUGCAUUAGCUAGUUGGUAAGGUAACGGCUUACCAAGGCAACGAUGCAUAGCCGACCUGAGAGGGUGGUCGGCCACACUGGAACUGAGACACGGUCCAGACUCCUACGGGGGGCAGCAGUAGGGAAUCUUCCGCAAUGGGCGAAAGCCUGACGGAGCAACGCCGCGUGAGUGAUGAAGGUCUUCGGAUCGUAAAACUCUGUUAUUAGGGAAGAACAUAUGUGUAAGUAACUGUGCACAUCUUGACGGUACCUAAUCAGAAAGCCACGGCUAACUACGUG
This 497-nucleotide ribosomal RNA is filed under the name uncultured bacterium. RNAcentral's name for it is "partial 16S ribosomal RNA". It matches the Rfam family "Bacterial small subunit ribosomal RNA", at positions 28 to 507 of the family's 1533-position model. The record is from RNAcentral.